This is a non-coding RNA of Danio rerio (zebrafish), 72 nucleotides long. Lineage: Eukaryota; Metazoa; Chordata; Actinopteri; Cypriniformes; Danionidae. The record is from Rfam.
GGCUCGUUGGUCUACGGGUAUGAUUUUCGCUUUGGGUGUGAGAGGUCCCGGGUUCAAAUCCCGGAUGAGCCC